ACUCGGGUGUUGGCGAUMKUACGGUCGGCACCCAAGCGAAAGCGUUAAGUGUUCCACCUGGUGGAGUACUCCCGCAAGGGURAAACUCAAAGGAAUUGACGGGGGCCCGCACAAGCGGAGGAGCAUGUGGUUUAAUUCGAUGAUACGCGAGGAACCUUACCCGGGCUUGUAAGUUACUGAAGGUAGCAGAGAUGUUACCGUCCUUCGGGACAGGAAACUAGGUGCUGCAUGGCUGUGUUCAGCUCGUGCCUGGAGGUGUUGGGUUAAGUCCCGCAACGAGCGCAACCCCUGUGSAUAGUUGCCAGCAUAUAAAGGUGGGGACUCUAUCCGGASGGCCUGYGCAAACAGCGAGGAAGGGGGGGACGACGUCAAGUCCUCAUGGCCCUUACGUCCGGGGCUACACACGUGCUACAAUGGCCGGAACAGAGGGCCGCUACCCUGCAAAGUGGUSCCAAUCUCUCAAAGCGUGUCACAGUUCGGAUCGGGGUCUGCAACUCGACCYCGUGAAGUUGGAUUCGCUAGUAAUCGCGUAUCAGCAAGGAUGCGUUGAAUACUUUCCCGGGCCUUGUACACCMCCCCAUCAAGCCGKGAAAGCCGGAAGUACCUGAAGCAUGUA
RNAcentral lists this ribosomal RNA (616 nucleotides) under Olivibacter ginsengisoli. Its description in RNAcentral is "bacterial SSU rRNA". Lineage: Bacteria; Pseudomonadati; Bacteroidota; Sphingobacteriia; Sphingobacteriales; Sphingobacteriaceae. The record is from RNAcentral.